Molecule: non-coding RNA, 22 nt
Filed under: Arabidopsis thaliana (thale cress)
Lineage: Eukaryota; Viridiplantae; Streptophyta; Magnoliopsida; Brassicales; Brassicaceae
Source: RNAcentral
UUUAAAGCCAAAUCAGGUUCAC